AUAAAGUUUUAUUUUAGCUUAUAAAUUUAUUAAAAAUUUAAUUUAUAUAUAAAUUUUUAUGAGAAUUUUUUAUUAUUUUAAUAAUUAUAAAAAUAAUUUUUUAUUCGUAAUAAUUGGUAUUAUUAAUUAAAGAAAUUUAGAAAUAGUAAUAUAAAAUAAGUAUUGAUUUAAUUUGUGCCAGCAAUCGCGGUUAUACAAAUAAUGCAAAUAAAUUAUAUUAAUUUAAGUUAAAUUUUUAAAAAUUAAUUAAAUUAAUUUAUUAGGUGAAAUUUUUAAAUUAAUUAUAAAAAAAAUAAAAAUUGAAGCUUGGAAAUUUUUUAAAAAGACUAGGAUUAGAUACCCUAUUAUUAAAAAUAUAAUGUAAAUAAAUUAAGGUAGUAAUAGUUAUGUUCUUAAAACUUAAAAAAUUUGGCGGUAUUUUAGUCUAUUCAGAGGAACCUGUUUAAUAAUCGAUAAUCCACGAUGAACCUUACUUAAGUUUGUAAAUAGUUUAUAUACCGUCGUUAUUAAAAUAUUUUAAGAGAAAAUUAAUUUUUAAAAUUUUAUUAAAAAAAUAUAUCAGAUCAAGGUGUAGCUUAUAUUUAAGAAUAAAUGGGUUACAAUAAAAUUAUUUAGAUGAAUAUAUAUUUUAAAAAAUUUAUUGAAGGUGGAUUUGAUAGUAAAAUUAUAAAGAAAAAUAAUUUGAUUUUAGCUCUAAAAUAUGCACAUAUCGCCCGUCACUCUUAUUUUUAAAGUAAGAUAAGUCGUAACAUAGUAGAUGUACUGGAAAGUGUAUCUAGAAUG
RNAcentral lists this non-coding RNA (783 nucleotides) under Elodia flavipalpis. The record is from RNAcentral. Lineage: Eukaryota; Metazoa; Arthropoda; Insecta; Diptera; Tachinidae.